GCCGAGGUGGUGGAACUGGUAGACACGCAUGUUUGAGGGGCAUGUGGGCGGAUUUGCUUGUACGGGUUCAAGUCCCGUCCUCGGCA
RNAcentral lists this transfer RNA (86 nucleotides) under Fidelibacterota bacterium. RNAcentral's name for it is "tRNA-Leu". It matches the Rfam family "tRNA". From Rfam's summary of the family: Transfer RNA (tRNA) molecules are approximately 80 nucleotides in length. Lineage: Bacteria; Pseudomonadati; Fidelibacterota. The record is from RNAcentral.